UGAGUAACCUGCCCUCAACUCUGGGAUAAGCCUGGGAAACUGGGUCUAAUACCGGAUAUGACCUUGGGAUGCAUGUCCUUUGGUGGAAAGCUUUUGCGGUGUGGGAUGGGCCCACGGCCUAUCAGCUUGUUGGUGGGGUUAAGGCCUACCAAGGCGAUGACGGGUAGCCGGCCUGAGAGGGUGAUCGGCCACAUUGGAACUGAGACACGGUCCAGACUCCUACGGGAGGCAG
Molecule: ribosomal RNA, 232 nt
Filed under: uncultured bacterium
Lineage: Bacteria
Description: partial 16S ribosomal RNA
Rfam family: Bacterial small subunit ribosomal RNA
Source: RNAcentral